This 273-nucleotide ribosomal RNA is filed under the name uncultured bacterium. Its description in RNAcentral is "partial 16S ribosomal RNA". It matches the Rfam family "Bacterial small subunit ribosomal RNA", at positions 81 to 354 of the family's 1533-position model. The record is from RNAcentral.
CUUUCCUUAUCUUAGUGGCGGACGGGUGAGUAACGCGUGGAUAACCUGGCCCAUACAGGGGGAUAGCAGCUGGAAACGGCUGGUAAUACCGCAUAAGCGCACAGUACGGCAUCGUACGGUGUGAAAAACUCCGGUGGUAUGGGAUGGGUCCGCGUCUGAUUAGGCAGUUGGCGGGGUAAAGGCCCACCAAACCGACGAUCAGUAGCCGGCCUGAGAGGGUGGGCGGCCACAUUGGGACUGAGACACGGCCCAAACUCCUACGGGAGGCAGCAG